Salmo salar (Atlantic salmon) is the source of this 1314-nucleotide non-coding RNA. The record is from RefSeq and is a predicted model, not a curated record. NCBI's taxonomy places the organism in Eukaryota, Metazoa, Chordata, Actinopteri, Salmoniformes, Salmonidae.
UGACAACACUGUCUCAAACUCUGUACCAGGCGGUGUAUGUAGUUGGUAUUUGUUUACCCAUGAUGCACCUCCAGAGAAUGGAGAGGUAAAGGUUGUGUUCCCUGAUCAGACGUUGCAUGCAUCAACCAAUGUUUGUAUGCCACGUCAUCGACUGUCUGGCAACAGAUUACUGGAGCAUAUUAUGUGUUUAGCUGAUGCGUAAAAUACUUAUCCAGGCGUUGUAAGAUCUGGCAUGAGUCAGCAAUGUCUGUGUCGAUACCAAAAUCUUUGGGUGUGCACGUUUUGCAAAGCAGGGAGACGCCGAAGUAAUUGAUUGCUAUACAGCUGGGAGCGGUGGAUGUCAUAACUAAAUAAAACAACAGAAGAAAAUAAAUGAUCGGUCUGUGGCGAGGGAGGAGCUGGUUUUUAAAUAUUGUGUAUAUUUAUUUCUUGUGAACAAAUUUCCAUUUGUUACCAAUGUCAAUUCUUAAUUUUUUCAACAUACUUUUAUUUUUGUUUUCUGGACAGGCGAACGCUGCCAAAUACUAAACAGUAAACCAAUAAAAAAUGGUGAACUAUCCAGCAGGGGUGUGGUGCUGCCGGAGUGCUUUUUUCAAUUUGAGAAUACACAGAGCUGGUAAAACUAUUUCUGGAAAAUGUUAUCUAAAUAAAUGAUAUUUCAUUUCCACAAAAAUUCCAUGAAAAACGAUAGAAUGACAAACCAAAUAAACAUGUAUAUCAGUCUAGAAGUAUAAAAUUGUGGUUUCUUCCCUGUCUUCUCUCUGGCACUUUUGAGAAUGUUGAAGAACUAUAGGCUACAAGUGUGUGCACGACAGAAGACCGUCUGAGGCUUGACCACUUUGGCUAAUUCGAACGUUGAAAAAAAAUCCUAAUUCACUAUAUGUUUGCCUUUAUAAAAUAAUACUCUACGGACCCCUCUUGCGCAUUGGAACCCAGAACGACACCGUUCGACCAAGGACACCCAAACCAGAGUGGCCACCACAAAUCUCAAGGAGCCUGAUCCUCUCUGGAAGUUGCUGUAUCUCUGCUUGGGAUAUUUAGCCUACAUGGGCUAUUGUUUGAGACACAGGGCCCAUUCUAGCUUGGUAUGUCAGGGUGGGAAAUUGGAAAUGUGAAUUGGGCCAAGUUGGAGGUCAUAAUGCAUUUAGAUUAUAGUUUAUUGCGAUGCAUGAAUACACAACACCAAAAGCUUGAUUUUAUGGCUGUUUUAAAAGGAAUUUCCUGCAUUUCUACGUAGUAAUGAUUUAUGUUCACUAAUUGGUCAAUUGAUAUGAUAGCAUGUUUAAUCUAUGCAAAUAAAUUCUAUGAAUUGUU